AAAAGCUUAUGAUACGUCAUUACGAACAUAAACAAAGUGUAUUAGACUUAUAAUGAUGAUCCAUAGAUUGGGUUUAGUUAACUUUUCCAUGGAUCUAGCAGAGAUAAAAUGGCAUGGGAAAUUAAGAUUACAAAGAGAAGGAAGAUAAAUAAUUUUUGCAAACAUAUAUAUGAAUGAGGGAUAAGUAUUGAAAGGCCCCUUUUCAAACUAUGGACCAUACAAUUUAGAAGAGGUGGGAUUUAUCAAACGUAUUAGUGCAACCAUUAAAUUUAUA
This 274-nucleotide long non-coding RNA is filed under the name Trifolium pratense (red clover). RNAcentral's name for it is "long non-coding RNA (TPRA_LNC011874)". The record is from RNAcentral. Lineage: Eukaryota; Viridiplantae; Streptophyta; Magnoliopsida; Fabales; Fabaceae.